GCCUACGGGGCGCAGCAGUGAGGAAUAUUGGUCAAUGGGCGAGAGCCUGAACCAGCCAAGUCGCGUGAAGGAUGACGGCCCUACGGGUUGUAAACUUCUUUUGUCAGGGAGCAAUUGGGUCCACGCGUGGGCUUAGCGAGAGUACCUGAAGAAAAAGCAUCGGCUAACUCCGUGCCAGCAGCCGCGGUAAUACGGAGGAUGCGAGCGUUAUCCGGAUUUAUUGGGUUUAAAGGGUGCGUAGGCGGAGCAUCAAGUCAGCGGUAAAAAUCCGGGGCUCAACCCCGUCGCGCCGUUGAAACUGAUGU
This 305-nucleotide ribosomal RNA is filed under the name uncultured bacterium. RNAcentral's name for it is "bacterial SSU rRNA". It matches the Rfam family "Bacterial small subunit ribosomal RNA", at positions 337 to 639 of the family's 1533-position model. The record is from RNAcentral.